This 253-nucleotide ribosomal RNA is filed under the name uncultured bacterium. RNAcentral's name for it is "partial 16S ribosomal RNA". It matches the Rfam family "Bacterial small subunit ribosomal RNA", at positions 524 to 776 of the family's 1533-position model. The record is from RNAcentral.
UACGGAGGAUGCGAGCGUUAUCCGGAUUUAUUAGGUUUAAAGGGUGUGUAGGCGGAGAACUAAGUCAGCGGUGAAAUCCUAUAGCUUAACUAUAGAACUGCCAUUGAUACUGGUUUUCUUGAAUGUAAUUGAAGUGGGCGGAAUGUGUAAUGUAGCGGUGAAGUGCUUAGAUAUUACACAGAACACCGAUUGCGUAGGCAGCUCACUAAGCUACUAUUGACGCUGAGGCACGAAAGCGUGGGGAGCAAACAGG